CCUACGGGUGGCAGCAGUGAGGAAUAUUGGUCAAUGGACGAGAGUCUGAACCAGCCAAGUAGCGUGAAGGAUGACUGCCCUAUGGGUUGUAAACUUCUUUUAUAUGGGAAUAAAAUGUUCCACGUGUGGGAUUUUGUAUGUACCAUAUGAAUAAGGAUCGGCUAACUCCGUGCCAGCAGCCGCGGUAAUACGGAGGAUCCGAGCGUUAUCCGGAUUUAUUGGGUUUAAAGGGAGCGUAGGUGGAUUGUUAAGUCAGUUGUGAAAGUUUGCGGCUCAAACAUAAAAUUGCAGUUGAAACUGGCAGUCUUGAGUACAGUAGAGGUGGGCGGAAUGCGUGGUGUAGCGGUGAAAUGCUUAGAUAUCACGAAGAACUCCGAUUGCGAAGGCAGUUCACUGGACUGCAACUGACACUGAGGCUCGAAAGUGUGGGUAUCAAACAGGAUUAGAUACCCUAGUAGUC
This 460-nucleotide ribosomal RNA is filed under the name uncultured bacterium. RNAcentral's name for it is "partial 16S ribosomal RNA". It matches the Rfam family "Bacterial small subunit ribosomal RNA", at positions 338 to 795 of the family's 1533-position model. The record is from RNAcentral.